This 524-nucleotide ribosomal RNA is filed under the name Pyrenophora tritici-repentis. RNAcentral's name for it is "eukaryotic LSU rRNA". The stretch from base 184 to 337 matches the Rfam family "5.8S ribosomal RNA". The record is from RNAcentral. Lineage: Eukaryota; Fungi; Ascomycota; Dothideomycetes; Pleosporales; Pleosporaceae.
CAUUACACAAAUAUGNAGCCGGACUGGGAUAGGGCCUCGCUGCCUUGCCCGUCUGGCGCCAUAUUCACCCAUGUCUUUUUGCGUACUACUUGUUUCCUUGGCGGGUCCGCCCGCCAAUUGGACCUUAUUCAAACCUUUUUUUCAGUUGCAAUCAGCGUCAGCAAAACAAAUGUAAUCAAUUACAACUUUCAACAACGGAUCUCUUGGUUCUGGCAUCGAUGAAGAACGCAGCGAAAUGCGAUAAGUAGUGUGAAUUGCAGAAUUCAGUGAAUCAUCGAAUCUUUGAACGCACAUUGCGCCCUUUGGUAUUCCAAAGGGCAUGCCUGUUCGAGCGUCAUUUGUACCCUCAAGCUUUGCUUGGUGUUGGGCGUCUUGUCUCUCUCCCGAGACUCGCCUUAAAAUCAUUGGCAGCCGGCCUACUGGUUUCGGAGCGCAGCACAUUAUUUGCGCUCUUGUCCAGCCGCGGUCGCGCGUCCAUGAAGCUUCUUUCAACCUUUUGACCUCGGAUCAGGUAAGGAUACCCG